UACGAAGGGGGCGAGCGUUGUUCGGAAUUAUUGGGUUUAAAGGGUCCGCAGGCGGAAUUAUAAGUCAGUGGUGAAAUCUCGAUGCUCAACAUCGAAACUGCCAUUGAUACUGUAGUUCUUGAAUAUAGUCGGAGUAGGCGGAAUGUGUAGUGUAGCGGUGAAAUGCUUAGAUAUUACACAGAACACCGAUAGCGAAGGCAGCUUACUAGGUUAUAAUUGACGCUCAUGUGCGAAAGUGUGGGUAGCGAACAGG
RNAcentral lists this ribosomal RNA (253 nucleotides) under uncultured bacterium. RNAcentral describes it as "partial 16S ribosomal RNA". It matches the Rfam family "Bacterial small subunit ribosomal RNA", at positions 524 to 776 of the family's 1533-position model. The record is from RNAcentral.